This 963-nucleotide ribosomal RNA is filed under the name Rhodomonas sp. CCMP768. RNAcentral describes it as "partial Eukaryotic large subunit ribosomal RNA". It matches the Rfam family "Eukaryotic large subunit ribosomal RNA", at positions 1 to 869 of the family's 3401-position model. The record is from RNAcentral. Lineage: Eukaryota; Cryptophyceae; Pyrenomonadales; Pyrenomonadaceae.
GUCUCAAAUCGGGCAGGAAUACCCGCUGAACUUAAGCAUAUCACUAAGCGGAGGAAAAGAAACUAACCAGGAUUCCCCUAGUAGCGGCGAGCGAAGCGGGAGAAGCUCAAGAUUUGAAUCUAUGGGCAUUGCCCAUAGAGCUGUAGUCUAGAGGGGCGCGAUCAGGAGGCGUCUUUUGACCCAAGUCUCCUGGAAUGGAGCACUAUAGAGGGUGAAAGUCCCGUGUUUGGUCAGAAUGUGCGCCUUCCCUGCGAUGCGCCCUGGUCGAGUCGAGUUGUUUGGGAGUGCAGCUCAAAUAGGGUGGUAUACUUCAUCCAAAGCUAAAUAUGGACAGGAGACCGAUAGCGAACAAGUACCGUGAGGGAAAGAUGAAAAGAACUUUGGAAAGAGGGUGAAAUAGUGCUUGAAACCGCUGGGAGGAAAGCGAAUGGAGUUACUGCAAGCCUAGGGCAUCUCAAGCCGGCGUUUUGGUUGGUUCCGGUGUAGAGACUCUGGUGCUGCGCCCGUGGCGACUUUCUAUUCUUGUGGGAAGAAGUGGUUUGUUAGACCAGAAAUGUUUUUCUUUUCUUGUUUUGGAGAAAAAGUGAAGCUUUAUGGUCUUACCAUUUUUUUUCGUUGUCCAAAGAAUGAAGGCGCUGAUCAGUGAAAAAAAGAUUCGGAGAAUCCAGGUAAUGGAUUUUUAGAAUCUAGAAAAACGGGCGGAAGGGCUUUAUUCGACCCGUCUUGUAACACGGACCAAGGAGUCCAGCAUGUACGCGAGUGCAUGGGCUUGUAUACCCACGCGCGCAGUGAAAGUAAAGGCAAUUCAGAAUAAAAUGCCACGGUGGGAACACAAUACGUUGCGCACCAUCAUCCGACCGGUCUACUGUAUUUGGUUACCGGCUCGCGAUUGAGCGUAUAUGCUGGGACCCGAAAGAUGGUGAACUAUGCCUGAGUAGGAUGAAGCCAGAGGAAACUCUGGUG